This 429-nucleotide ribosomal RNA is filed under the name Actinomycetes bacterium. RNAcentral's name for it is "Actinobacteria bacterium partial 16S ribosomal RNA". It matches the Rfam family "Bacterial small subunit ribosomal RNA", at positions 355 to 776 of the family's 1533-position model. The record is from RNAcentral. Lineage: Bacteria; Bacillati; Actinomycetota; Actinomycetes.
UAGGGAAUCUUCCGCAAUGGGCGAAAGCCUGACGGAGCAACGCCGCGUGAGUGAUGAAGGUCUUCGGAUCGUAAAACUCUGUUAUUAGGGAAGAACAAAUGUGUCAGUAACUAUGCACGUCUUGACGGUACCUAAUCAGCAAGCCACGGCUAACUACGUGCCAGCAGCCGCGGUAUUACGUCGGUGGCAAGCGUUAUCCGGAAUUAUUGGGCGUAAAGCGCGCGUAGGCGGUUUUUUAAGUCUGAUGUGAAAGCCCACGGCUCAACCGUGGAGGGUCAUUGGAAACUGGAAGACUUGAGUGCAGAAGAGGAAAGUGGAAUUCCAUGUGUAGCGGUGAAAUGCGCAGAGAUAUGGAGGAACACCAGUGGCGAAGGCGGCUUUCUGGUCUGUAACUGACGCUGAUGUGCGAAGGCGUGGGGAUCAAACAGG